RNAcentral lists this long non-coding RNA (648 nucleotides) under Arachis ipaensis. Its description in RNAcentral is "long non-coding RNA (AIPA_LNC001845)". Lineage: Eukaryota; Viridiplantae; Streptophyta; Magnoliopsida; Fabales; Fabaceae. The record is from RNAcentral.
UUUGCAACUAUAAAUAUGACUGCUUAUAUUUGUAAUCUAAUUAGAAGUAUUACAUUUAAUUAGUUUUUACAAUGACCAAUCUUGAAACUACUACAUACAUGUAUGAUGAUGAGAUCAUCAGUCUCUAGGACACAUUACAAAAAAUUAAAUACAGUAAAAUAAUUAAAAGAACCAUAAGAUCUAUGACUCAACGUACAAUAACUAUAUAAUAACGUUAAAAAAAAUAGUAAGAAGCAAAAAAUCCAAGAGAAGAAAAAAUAAUGAAAGUAUAUGAAUAUAGAUAAAUAUGGAUGAUGAUGAUGAUGAUAAUGAGGUAGCUCAUUAAUUAAUGUCCUCGGCCUUUUUUGCUGGGUCCAGAAGCUAGUCUAAAAGCCAAGCUACGAUUUGAAGGACGAGUUCUGAUGAUGCUCAACUUUGAAGAAGAAGAAGAAGAAGAGGCUUCUCCUUUAACGCCUUCACGAUUCUCAACUACUUGCGUCUUUAACUCCUCCGAUCGAAGAACUCGGCUCUGCACAAUGCACAACUGUGAUGAGACCACAAGCAUUAUGAUGACCAACACCAUCCAUAUGCUCUUCUUCAUCGCCAUGUAAUAAUCUACCUGAGUAAUAAUAUAUAAUAAUAAUGUAAAAACUUAUGUACGUUCCUUUU